UACAGAGGUCCCGAGCGUUGUUCGGAUUUACUGGGCGUAAAGGGUGCGUAGGUGGCGAUCCAAGUCGGGUGUGAAAUCUCCGGGCUUAACCCGGAGGGUGCGCCCGAAACUGGCUUGCUAGAGGGUGGGAGGGGAGACUGGAAUUCUCGGUGUAGCAGUGAAAUGCGUAGAUAUCGAGAGGAACACCGGUGGCGAAGGCGAGUCUCUGGACCACUCCUGACACUGAGGCACGAAAGCCGGGGGAGCAAACAGG
This 253-nucleotide ribosomal RNA is filed under the name uncultured bacterium. RNAcentral's name for it is "partial 16S ribosomal RNA". It matches the Rfam family "Bacterial small subunit ribosomal RNA", at positions 524 to 776 of the family's 1533-position model. The record is from RNAcentral.